AUCUGUCUAUCCAUCUAUCCCCGAGCACCUGCAUCCUUCUCAGCAAAGCCAGAACCCUGUCCUCACAGAGCUCCCAAGCUGCUGUCAAAAGGUGAACAGAGGCUUGAUGCAGCCAGGAAAACAUCCAUGAGUGCAUGUCAGGGAAAGGCUCAGCACAGCCACCUGCUCCCUCAUCAUGGCCCUCCCUGCUCCAGGCAGGGUGUUCCAUCCAGAAGAGGAGCCUGCACGAAGGCAAGCUGUUCAGGGCGAAGAGCAGUCCACAUGGCUGAAGCACAAGUUGGAAAACAACAAUUGUCUAUGACCUGGUGAGCAAAGUCUCCAAGGACAGGCUUCACAGGGAGGCUCUGUGAGGGCGCAGAGACCCCAGGGAAGAGCUGACCAAGCAAGAACAGCAAGAACCGAGAGCAGCGGCUGCUUUUUCAAGUGGCUGGGUCGAUUGAGGCCAUCGUGCACAUUCAGGCUGGGCUUGCUGAGACACCCUCCCACUCACGACCCUACACGUUUCAGGAGGUGACCCAGGGGAGCCGCAGCGCUAUCACACAGCUUCUACAAGCCGAUUCAACCUCUAGUAAAAUUUUGGUGGGUAAACCACAGGAGGCUGGUGGGCAGGCAGGCGUCGGCUCAGAGAUGCUUGGCUGUAAAUAGAGGUCAUUUUUUCCCCUGCAGGUAUUAAUGAAGUAUGCACUUAGAGGAACAACAAUGGGUAAUUUAACACCACAUUUACAUGAAGAAACUGGCUACAGUAGUCUGUUUGCCCUCAUCUUUCUUCACCUUCGGUUUAAAAGUACACAUUUUAUGUGACAUUUGUGUCCCCCAAGUCUAAUGCUAGUCUCGACAGCUGUGUUGCCCCGUUUGAGACAUUUACCCCUCCUGAUUCCCAGUUCUUUCAUCCAUAAAACAGGGACAAUCAUUCUUGCUUUGCCUUGCCCACCAGUGUUAUGGUAAAAGCCAGAUUAAGUAACAAGUUGGAUAGAGCUGUGCAAACUAUAAAGCACCUCACAAUGGAAGGCUCGCCCUGACUAAGGAUAGGUGAGACAGCUCCCCAGCCUGUGGGAAGUGUGAAUACACUUCUCCCUGUGGAUGCAGACUCUCUGAAGAGGUUUCUCCUGAGAUCCCACGACAGUUCAGUGACCCCACAAUCACCCAGGUGGGGCAAGGCCCUGGCCCAAGAUGCUGUCUAGAAUGUGCCCAGGGAUGACAAAUGGAGGUGGCCAGCAGGGUGACCUGGUGGACCACUCUACGGAGCCCAGCUUCAAGGACAUGCGGUCUGUGGGAAGAGGGCAGCAGCAUGCCUGGGGCGGCAGAGGCUGGCAGGGAGCUCUCCUCCUCACCGGCAGAGCAAAGGCAGCUUCUGCUUUGCUGCCAAGACUACAACAGUUAGCCUGGAUGGGGCAGUAAUGAUGGCCUUGCCACCCAGCAAAACUCCAAGGGUAACAGCACCCUGACCUUCCCCCAGGAACUGCUCCAUUCCUGCUCUCAUCCCAGGGGCAAUAAGAGUUGGCAUGCAGCCAAGGUUAUUGGUUCGGGGAUAGGCAUAAGCUCCAACCCACACCAACCGGGUCCGAAGAGAGCAAGUCUGGGAGCUUUCCCUGGGGUAACUAGGUAAGAAGUUCUUUUGUUGGCUGGAUUCAGCCCUGAGAGACCACAAGCCUAGAGUUGCCAGGGGGACAUAGAGAUGAAGAGCUAACACCCACCAAGGGAAGCCAAGCCAAAAAAUGAAGAGAAAGUGUGCCAGUCAGCCAGCCAGCCAGCGAAACUCAGAAGCAGGCACCUGGCCCUGAGGCCACUGUAUGCAUCCCUGGAUCAAGUUGAGCCUGAAGUCAAAAAUUCCCUUCUCUCCCCUCCCCUCCCCAUUUGGGCUUUUCAGUUAUAAAAGCCACCAAAUUAAGCUAGUUUGGGUUCAGUUUUUGUCACCUGCAAAUGAAGGAGUCCCACCUAAAUAUUAAUACAAUGGGCUGUAGGAUCACUCCAUGUCUCUAAAAUGUUGAGGUAUCUGAGAGAGAGAAUCUUCAGUAGCUCCUCAUUUCUCAAGAGACAACAUCUUUGAUGACUCCCUCUGACCCACAGGUUCAGCGGUGGUUCCCUAUACACAGGGCCUCCGAGCCCUAUAAGUCACUGCCUCUGGGAAUUCAUCUAGGCUCAGCUUUCCAAAUUCCCUCCUUCAAUCUUUUCCGUUCUCUGUUGCCAUCUUCAAUUUCAACUGGUUUCCUGUGCUGUGCACACUCUUGUAAACUUGACGCUUCAGACUUGCCUUCCUUCCCAUCCCGUGCAUCCCAGGGACAUGGACUCUGAGCUCCCUUGGCAGAGGGUACAUUCUAUGCUUGGCAGCCUCCCACUUCCGCACCCAGCUUCACCUCUAAGGCACUGCCCACUUCCAUCCCAUCUCGCCUGGCAGUUCAGGGACCCUAUUUCAGCUCAAUUCAACACCACUCACUGGUUAUCUGCUCCAUACCAGGCAUGAUCCUGAGCACUGGGGAUUCAAAGAUGGCUACAACACUGUUCAUAUCCUCAAGGAGGAUGGCAGAUAAUAUAUAAACAUUUCAGGACAGCAGACAAGAAUCCAAGCUCAAGCAGAGUACUAGGAGUCUCCUUUGGGGCGGAGAGGAUGGAGCAGCUAAUCGUGUCCGGAGCAUCUGGGAAGGCUUCUUGAGAAGCACAGGACUGCAUCACAUCUAAAUUCCUCCAUCUGGCAUCCCCGAGGACCUCUGCAAUCUGUCUACACUCAACCUACCAACAACCAACUGACGUCUGUCAUGGGUCCAGCGAGGACAGUGCCCCUGCCCCUCCUGAUGCCCCUUCCUCCUCCACGUGCCUCCAGUCCCUCAGCUCCCACAGCCUCCCACAUAUCUGCAUACUCACUGGAAGGUACGGUCUUCACGUCUGCUCUUUUCCAAGACUGAAAGCACUCCUGUUUGUCUAAAUCCUGCUUCACCCUUUAAGGGAAGACUAAGGAGUUUCAUUUCCUCUGAGCAUCAUUUUUCCCCUUUUGAAAGCCUAAUGUACUUAGGAUGAACCAAUGACCACCACAUGCCUGCUGCUUCUAACCCCCAUCCCCCGGCCAUAACAGACAUUCCCACUGGUCAUCAGACGGCACUCUUUCUCCUGGCACCCUGAGGCAGUGUCACAUGUUUUGCCAUUCAGGCAGCACCCACUGGGUAGAGUUGGCAUCCAAGUUGAAACUGUUUGCCAUCCAGAGCUAAAAAUUAUAUCACAUGUUUUGACAUGUCAUCAUGAAGGUAAAUCAUAUCAACAAACAAUUGAGCACCAACCAAGUACAAGAGCAGAGAAGGGUUGGGAAGGUGAACCUAUUGAUACACUGUCUCGUAUCAUUUGCAGCUUGUCAGUGCCUUGAGGACAAAAACCAUAUUCCAUCUACCUCUGCAGAAUCCCCUCACAGUACCAAAGCAGAGAGCUGGGUACUUCACCUCACUAGAUUCCAAGAUCCCAUCUCUACACAAAAGGAGAAACAGAACCAUUAUCUCGGGCUACAUUUCUCAGCACCUGGGCCAGCAAUCUUGUCUUAGUUGUCACCCAGGCCAGAAUCCCAUUUACCCCAUCCUAGUUGGCACUGCAGAGUUAUGCUUUAUUUCUAAACCAUGUCAGGCCUUUGCAUCCCAUCCCAAUGGCUCAGGUAAAAUUGGAUGGCAAUGGGAAUGUGCCCUACAUGGGCUGAUCAAAGUCAUACACUGUCUCCCUGGGAAUCUAUGGAGUUCAGGUCAACCCUCCAAUAUGUCUACUUCCUUUGCCAAAAAGUAAGAAAUGGUGGCUGGGCACAGUGGCUCACGGCUGUAAACCCAGCACUUUGGGAGGCCGAAGCAGGUGGAUCACCUGAGAUCAUGAGUUCAAGACCAGCCUGGCCAAACACGGUGAAACCUAUCUCUACUAAAAAUACAAAAAUUAGCUGAGUAUGGUGGCACGAGUCUGUAAUCCCAGCUACUUGGGAGGCUGAGGCAUGAGAAUUGUUUGAACCCGGGAGGCAGAGGUUGCAGUGAGCCGAGAUAGCACUGCUGCACUCCAACCUGGGUGAGAGCGAGACUCUGUGUCAAAAAAAAAAAAAAAAAAAAAAGUAAGAAAUGAGUGAACAUUUCAAAAUGGCAGGAACUGGUUAAGUUUAAAACUGAACACUUUCAUUUUGACAAGAAAGCAGUCAUUCUUUUUCUCCAUUAACAGAGAUAAAGAAAAGCUUUUCAAAUCUGUAUAUGGCUACGUUGAUUGACGUCUGAGUUAAAAAUGAAAUCUCAGCCGGGCGCGGUGGCUCACACCUGUAAUCCCAGCACUUUGGGAGGCUGAGGUGGGUGGAUCAUGAGGUCAGGAGAUGGAGGCCAUCCUAGCUAACAUGGUGAAACCCCAUCUCUACUAAAAAUACAAAAAAUUAGCUGGGCAUGGUGGCAUGCACCUGUAGUCCCAUCUACUCAGGAGGCUGACACAGGAGAAUCACUUGAACCCAGGAGGCGGAAGUUGCAGUGAGCCGAGAUUGUGCCACUGCACUGUAGCCUGGUUGACAGAGCGAGACUCCAUCUCCAAAAAAA
Molecule: long non-coding RNA, 4529 nt
Organism: Homo sapiens (human)
Lineage: Eukaryota; Metazoa; Chordata; Mammalia; Primates; Hominidae
Exons: 3
Source: RefSeq, a predicted model, not a curated record